RNAcentral lists this ribosomal RNA (604 nucleotides) under uncultured Spiroplasma sp. RNAcentral describes it as "bacterial SSU rRNA". It matches the Rfam family "Bacterial small subunit ribosomal RNA", at positions 127 to 719 of the family's 1533-position model. The record is from RNAcentral. Lineage: Bacteria; Bacillati; Mycoplasmatota; Mollicutes; Entomoplasmatales; Spiroplasmataceae.
UACCAUUUAGUGGGGAAUAACUGUUGGAAACGACAGCUAAUACCGCAUAAUAUUGCUGGAUAAUUUCCAGUAAUGAAAGGAGCUUUCAAGCUCCGCUGAUUGAUGAGGAUGCGGCGCAUUAGCUAGUUGGUAGGGUAAUGGCCUACCAAGGCAAUGAUGCGUAGCCGAUCUGAGAGGAUGAACGGCCACAUUGGGACUGAGACACGGCCCAAACUUCUACGGAAGGCAGCAGUAGGGAAUUUUUCACAAUGGGCGAAAGCCUGAUGGAGCAAUGCCGCGUGACUGAUGAAGGUCUUCGGAUUGUAAAGGUCUGUUGUAAGGGAAGAAAUGGUAAAACAGGAAAUGGUUUUAUCUAUGACGGUACCUUACCAGAAAGCCACGGCUAACUAUGUGCCAGCAGCCGCGGUAAUACAUAGGUGGCAAGCGUUAUCCGGAUUUAUUGGGCGUAAAGGGUGCGUAGACGGUUUUGCAAGUCUGAGGUUAAAUUUAGGAGCUCAACUCCUAAUCNCCUUGNAAACUACAAGACUAGAGUAUAGGAGAGGUUAGUGGAAUUCCAUGUGUAGCGGUGGAAUGUGUAGAUAUAUGGAGGAACACCAGUGGCGAA